AUCUAUUAGUCAGAGACCAGAGUACCCUGUUGCCCGACAGCGAUAUCCUCCCAGACUUUAAAACAGGAAGCUCUAAGUCCAUGGCACAGAAAACAUUCGGAACCCUGCCAGGGACUCUGAAAGUCAUCCUCCACCCUCACACAGAAGGGGUGUGUGGGAGGUCAAGUCGAUGACGGAGGCCCAAGGAGCCACACCCUUCCCUGCAGAAGACAAGGCGCCUGGACUGUGGUCCCCUUCCCAGACAGAGCAGUCUCCCUGCUGGAACUAAGGAGGAAGGAAUUGAGGAGGAGGAAACACAGACCUUGAUUUCAACAUUUGUGAGUCUUUCUCGUCCCGGCCUCUGGUGGAGCAGCUCCUGACCCCGCGGAGCCUGAGUCCUGGGCCUCCCUCAGGGCUUGGCAGCUGUGCUGUUUCUGAAGAAGCAGUGGGCAGCACCCUGGGGAGUCUCUCUGCAGGAGAGUUGAUCUGGUUUUCCUGUCUGCCAAGGAACGAGGAAGUGGUUUCGGCAGGCGGCCAGGGAGGAGGAGGGUGGCUCCGUGGGAGAGAGGCUGUCAGGCCACCAGCAUCACCAUUGUGAUGCCUGGAACGGGGGGCCCUACGACAGUACGAGGCGGCUCCUGACACCAUAGCUGACAGGCUGCAGCCGGGGGAGGGGGGCAGCUGGGCAGCUUGCUCCCCAGUCGGGUCACCCAGAACACUCUGUACGGUGACAGCGCUCUCAGAGGCCAGCGGCUGUAACAAGGGGCCCCAACAAGAUGGCAUGAGUGACCGAAGCCAGUGGGGAUGGAGGGGCAAACAAGAACAGGCUCGCGAGUCCCCGGAGAACUCAGGUCACACACGAUUUAUCCAUCCCCCCAGCAGACACUUCCUCAGUGCCUGUGGGAGCUGGGGAUACAUCGGUGAGCAAGAACACCCUGCCCCUGGGGUACGUCACGGUAGACAGACAACCCUGCCUUCUCCAAGAAGCACCUAUCUGCUCCCGGAGCAUAUGAAAUGCUUGAGACGUCAAAUCCCGUUUCUCACGCGUAAAUUAUUGCUGACACCUGACCCAGGUGUCCACUGUCAUCCUCAGGCAGUACUUGGGCUGGUGGGGUGGGGUGACCUCGGGCUUGUGUUUCCCAUGGGCAGCAGAGAAGUGCAAGGUGGUCAGAUGCUAUCUCCCCUCACCCCCACAUUUUGUAGGAGGAGGUGAAAAAAUUCACCUUAAGAAAGUGAAACCAAUGGAGUCAAAGUAAAAUGGGUAAGAUCAGCCACAUUAAGAAACCAUCUUGUUUCUUUUUGUUUAAUUUGGACUCAGGGGCUCAGAAUUAGAUUAAUCAGAAUCUUUGGUUCAGUGCACACACUCCUAAGCGGCCUGUUUCUUGAUCUGUUUGAUAAAAAUAAAAGCCACCACCCAGCAUAAAAGCCAGGACAUUCUUGGAGGCUCAGUGGUAAAGAAUCCACUUGCAAUGCAAUGCAGUGCAGGGACACGGGUUUGAUCCCUGGAUCGCAGAGACCCUCUGGAGAAGGAAAUGGCAACCCACUCCAGUAUUCUUGCCUGGGAAAUCCCAUGGACAGAGGAGCCUGGUGGGCUACAGUCCAUGGGGCUGUAAGCAGUUGUACCUGACUUAGUGACUAAACAACAGUGUGACAGCCAGCACUUGAGGAAACUUACACCUCCCUCCAUAUCGCCACCCUGGUCCUACCUGUCACCUGAUGACCUCACUAUCCUGAAACUUACAUUUCUCAUUCUCCUGCUUUCUUAAGUGUCAGUCACUCAGCCAUGUCCAACUCUGUGCGACCCCAUGGACUGUAGCCCACCAGGCCCCUCUGUCCACGGGAUUCUCCAGGCCAGAAUACUGGAACGGGUUGCUAUUCCCUUCUCCAGGGGAUCUUCCCAACCCGGGAAUCAAACCUGAGUCUCCCACAUUGCAGGUGGAUUCUUUACCAGCUGAGCCACCAGGGAAGCCUGCUUUCUUAAAAGUACAGGCAAUUUUAAACCCUUC
This is a long non-coding RNA of Capra hircus (goat), 1985 nucleotides long. The record is from Ensembl. Lineage: Eukaryota; Metazoa; Chordata; Mammalia; Artiodactyla; Bovidae.